AUGAACAGCAUACGUUGGCAAACCACGCUGCUGUUCUCAGUACACUAUCUCUCAAGACAUUGCGAUCUGACCAGUGGAAAAACAGGAUGUGGUUAACUUUAUGGCUGUAAACGAUACUGACAUCUGUAGUGGUUAAAUAACUGCCUGCAUAUUGCCACGUAGAUAAUGCUGUUGUACUAUGUAUGUACGUGAUGUUAUACAAUAGUUAAAGGUCAUAGGCUGUUUAUGGAGAGAAAAUAAUCCACGCCUCCAGGCGGAGGUAAAAUAAAAGCGGAGACCAGAAUUACGAGGGGGGCUCCGAAAUUGAACUCUGGUCUCACCGUGUCUCACUGUGUCGUGAUAUCUACAUCUGGUGACCCCGACGUGAUUCAGAACAAACACCCUCGUACCCACUGGCAGGAUCAGCCAACGGUGCACCUCAGCGUACAGCUCCCAUUCGUAGCUGCAGUACUGGCAGAAGUGACCAGGGAGAAACCGGUUCCGGCAUUUUCAGCAGUCGGAGUCUCUACCUGCCCCGCGGGUGCAGUUUCGGCAACUACCAAAUCCAGAGUGGAAAGGCCCAGUUCCGCUUAUAACGUGGGGUCGAGGUUACGCGGCUGUGUCUACGCCUGACGGUCCUGUGUGGGUACCUGCUAGGUGUAUCCGGCCCUGGAAAGACGAUGUCCUGGCACGAUAAUCUUAAGAAUCCCAUCCCUAAUUUUUCUCUGCAACUUCAGGAUACUGGGAUGUCUUCCAGGAAGCGUGGUCGGAAUGUUCCGCAACCUCCCGUGACUUGGGGCCAAAUAAAGAACUUAGCAACACAAGCAGAAAAAGCAAUGGAACAAGCCGGGGUGGACAAGACAACUGAGAAUACCAUUCUUGCUUUAAUUGCGUCUUUAAAUACAAAUUCUAUUUUUGUACUUUGCAUUUGUUGGAUUUUAGGAAGCGCCGGGGCUGACAGGUUGGGGCAGGAGUUGGGGAUGCGGUUUCAACACAAUAUCUGGGUUCAGUUAGCAAGAAUGACAAAUGUGAGUGACUUUUGCAUGACUGAACAUGUACAGGAAAUGGGUAUGUUGGGAACAUGUUUAAUACCCGUAUGCAAAGCACCUGGGGAUAUUGGGAACAUUACAGGACUUGGGCGGUUCAUGAAUACUUCAGAGAUUAAAUAUCAUACUGUUUCGAAUUGGGGAACUCCAACCUUCCAGCUGCCUGUUAAUGCUUUUCAAUUAUUUACAUCACAUGUUGCAAAUUCCAUUAAUAAUA
This is a long non-coding RNA of Rhineura floridana, 1242 nucleotides long. RefSeq lists it as uncharacterized. The record is from RefSeq and is a predicted model, not a curated record. NCBI's taxonomy places the organism in Eukaryota, Metazoa, Chordata, Lepidosauria, Squamata, Rhineuridae. The transcript is spliced from 3 exons.